GAUGAACGCUGGCGGCGUGCCUAAUACAUGCAAGUCGAGCGAACAGACGCGGCGCUUGCUCCUCUGACGUUAGCGGCGGACGGGUGAGUAACACGUGGAUAACCUACCUAUAAGACUGGGAUAACUUCGGGAAACCGGAGCUAAUACCGGAUAAUAUAUUGAACCGCAUGGUUCAAUAGUGAAAGACGGUUUUGCUGUCACUUCUCGAUGGUUCCGCGCCGCAUUAGCUAGUUGGUAAGGUAAAGGCAUACCAAGUCAACUAUGCGUCGCCGACCUCAGGGGGUGAUCGACCACACUGGAACGUAGACACGGUCCAGACUCCUACGGGAGGCAGCAGUAUGGAAUCUUCCGCAAUCGUCGAAAGCCUGACGGAGCAACGCCGCGUGAGUGAUGAAGGUCUUCGGAGCGUAAAACUCUGUUAUUAGGGAAGAACAAAUGUGUAAGUAACUAUGCACGUCUUGACGGUACCUAAUCAGAAAGCCACGGCUAACUACGUG
RNAcentral lists this ribosomal RNA (497 nucleotides) under uncultured bacterium. RNAcentral describes it as "partial 16S ribosomal RNA". It matches the Rfam family "Bacterial small subunit ribosomal RNA", at positions 28 to 507 of the family's 1533-position model. The record is from RNAcentral.